GCCACAAUAAAAAUAAAUGAGAAGAGAACAAUAGAAACAACAACACUCCCACAUCUUUCGAACAGUAGAAACAACAACACUCCAUAUGUUUCUAAGAUCAACCAAUUCACUCCAACACUUCCUUUACUCUCAAUUGAAUAACCUAACCAAGUUAGACAAACAGAACCAUAAGCCUUAACCUACUACUCCAUCCUUAAGAAACAACCCCUGUCGAAACUGAACCACAAUAAUACCAAAAGGGGUAGUUUCCUACAAUGUCAAAAGUGUUUUCUUAAUAACAAUAUCCGAUACACACUCGCUCACCUUGACUAAUUCCACUCUACCACCCACCAAU
This 334-nucleotide unclassified non-coding RNA is filed under the name Hevea brasiliensis (rubber tree). The record is from RNAcentral. Lineage: Eukaryota; Viridiplantae; Streptophyta; Magnoliopsida; Malpighiales; Euphorbiaceae.